CCUACGGGGCGCAGCAGUGGGGAAUAUUGCACAAUGGGGGAAACUCUGAUGCAGCGACGCCGCGUGAGUGAAGAAGUAAUUCGUUAUGUAAAGCUCUAUCAGCAGGGAAGAAAAUGACGGUACCUGAGUAAGAAGCCCCGGCUAACUACGUGCCAGCAGCCGCGGUACUACGUAGGGGGCAAGCGUUAUCCGGAUUUACUGGGUGUAAAGGGAGCGUAGACGGCAGUGCAAGUCUGGAGUGAAAGGCGGGGGCUCAACCCCCGGACUGCUCUGGAAACUGUACGGCUGGAGUGCAGGAGAGGUGAGUGGAAUUCCUAGUGUAGCGGUGAAAUGCGUAGAUAUUAGGAGGAACACCAGUGGCGAAGGCGGCUUACUGGACUGUAACUGACGUUGAGGCUCGAAAGCGUGGGGAGCAAACAGGAUUAGAUACCCCAGUAGUC
Molecule: ribosomal RNA, 440 nt
Filed under: uncultured bacterium
Lineage: Bacteria
Description: partial 16S ribosomal RNA
Rfam family: Bacterial small subunit ribosomal RNA
Source: RNAcentral